GGGGGUGUAGCUCAUUUGGUAGAGCGCUCGCUUCGCAUGCGAGAGGCACGGGGUUCAAUUCCCUGCACCUCCA
Molecule: transfer RNA, 73 nt
Filed under: Ipomoea nil (Japanese morning glory)
Lineage: Eukaryota; Viridiplantae; Streptophyta; Magnoliopsida; Solanales; Convolvulaceae
Rfam family: tRNA
About the family: Transfer RNA (tRNA) molecules are approximately 80 nucleotides in length. Their secondary structure includes four short double-helical elements and three loops (D, anti-codon, and T loops). Further hydrogen bonds mediate the characteristic L-shaped molecular structure. tRNAs have two regions of fundamental functional importance: the anti-codon, which is responsible for specific mRNA codon recognition, and the 3' end, to which the tRNAs corresponding amino acid is attached (by aminoacyl-tRNA synthetases). tRNAs cope with the degeneracy of the genetic code in two manners: having more than one tRNA (with a specific anti-codon) for a particular amino acid; and 'wobble' base-pairing, i.e. permitting non-standard base-pairing at the 3rd anti-codon position.
Source: Rfam by way of RNAcentral